GAUGAACGCUGGCGGCGUGCCUAACACAUGCAAGUCGAGCGGACGGACGAUAAGCGCGCGGUACUGAUGUUAGCGACGGGCGGGUGAGUAACGCGUGGAUAACCUUCCACUUAGGCUUGGGUAACUUCGGGAGGCCGGAGCAACUACUAGAUGAUAUUUUGAACGGGAUGGUUCAAAAGUUAUUGAGGGGUUGGCUGACACUGAGAGCUGGCUCCGCGCUGGAUUAGCUAGGUGGUAAGGUAACGGCGUAGCGAGGCAACGAUGCGUGGCCGACCUGAGAGGGUGAUCGGCCACACUGGAACUGGGACACGGUCCAGACUCCUACGGGAGGCAGCAGUAGGGAAUCUUCGGCAAUGGGCGAAAGCCUGACGCAGCAACGCCGCGUGAGUGAUGAAGGUCUUCGGAUCGUAAAGCUCUGUUAUUGGGGAAGAACAUAUGUGUAUGUAACUGUAGACAUCGUGACGGUACCUAAACAGAAAGCAACGGCUAACUACGUG
RNAcentral lists this ribosomal RNA (497 nucleotides) under uncultured bacterium. RNAcentral describes it as "partial 16S ribosomal RNA". It matches the Rfam family "Bacterial small subunit ribosomal RNA", at positions 28 to 507 of the family's 1533-position model. The record is from RNAcentral.